GUGUUCGCUUCGGCAGCACAUAAACUAAAAUUGGAACGAUAGAGAAGAUUAGCAUAGCCCCUGUACAAGGAUGACAUGCAAAUUCGUGAAGCAUUCCAUACUUUU
Nyctereutes procyonoides (raccoon dog) is the source of this 105-nucleotide small nuclear RNA. The record is from RefSeq and is a predicted model, not a curated record. NCBI's taxonomy places the organism in Eukaryota, Metazoa, Chordata, Mammalia, Carnivora, Canidae.